RNAcentral lists this unclassified non-coding RNA (413 nucleotides) under soil metagenome. RNAcentral's name for it is "partial contains 5.8S ribosomal RNA, internal transcribed spacer 2, and large subunit ribosomal RNA". The stretch from base 1 to 120 matches the Rfam family "5.8S ribosomal RNA", at positions 35 to 154 of the family's 154-position model. The record is from RNAcentral.
GAUGAAGAACGCAGCGAAAUGCGAUAAGUAAUGUGAAUUGCAGAAUUCAGUGAAUCAUCGAAUCUUUGAACGCACCUUGCGCUCUUUGGUAUUCCGAAGAGCAUGCCUGUUUGAAUGUCAUGAAAAUAUCAACCUUGACUUGGGUUUUGUGCUCUAGUCUCGGCUUGGAAUUGGGUGCUUGCCGCUUUUACGAGCGGCUCACCUUAAAUGUAUUAGCUGGAUCUGUCUUUGAGACUUGGUUUGACUUGGCGUAAUAAGUAUUUCGCUAAGGACAUUCUUCGGAGUGGCCUCGUUUCUAGGACGCUUGUCCGCUUUCCAAUACAAGUUCCACCUCGUGGACAUGACUUUUUAUUAUCUGGCCUCAAAUCAGGUAGGACUACCCGCUGAACUUAAGCAUAUCAAUAAGCGGAGGA